This 1113-nucleotide long non-coding RNA is filed under the name Mytilus galloprovincialis (Mediterranean mussel). Lineage: Eukaryota; Metazoa; Mollusca; Bivalvia; Mytilida; Mytilidae. The record is from RNAcentral.
ACGAUUUUGAGAAAAAUCUUGUUUAAUUCAUAUAAGAUAUUUCAAAAUGCGAGUUUAAAUUAUUGCGUUUACAAGUCUGUAGCAUUUUUUGCAAUAAUACAAAGCUAGCAUUAAUUUCUGAAUUUACAGUAAUCUGAUUUGACCCAGAUCAUUAAAAUGAACAGAAAUUUCAAGUUCAUGGAAAGAAGAAAAAUACAUUUGUAAUACUUGCAAAAUAAACUAAUAAAUCUUAAACCUGGAAUAUUGAAAUUGUAUCCAACUUUUCCCAGUGUAAGCUUACACUGCAUGGUUGUUAAUAUACUAGUACUCUUUUAGUAAGUUGAAAUCAUUUCAUGUGUUUUGGGUUUUUAGAAUUUUUAAGUUUGAUACUUUUAGGGGUCUUCUAAAACAAAUGUAAACCUUAUGGCCAAUAUUUAUUCUUCCAAUUUUGAAUCCAUUGUGUUACACAGCCUUGCAGAACAUUCAUUAUUAUGUUAGCAAGCUAUUAUCCCUCUCAUGUAACUCACAUACAUGUAUCACUCAUUACCAUAUUUAAUGUUACAAGAGAAAAUACAGAUGGCCAACAGUUGGAAUAACAUCUCUGACAAGAGUGAAGUGUUUUCCUGUAAAUUGACUUACUUUAUCAACUCAUUACAAAGCUUGGUGUAUAAGUAUCUCAUAAUAGUAUUAAUCUCAUUAUGAAUGUAUACUGUAAACCUACUUAUUUUCGCGUAUACUUUAUUUCGCGUUUUACCCUUUCUUGACCACUUCGCGGCUUUUUAAUUUUGUGAUUUACUUGAUGAAGUUUAUUAAGGAAAGAUCAAAGAUUGACAUAUUUGCGACGAUUUAUAUUCGCGUUAUUUUUCUACUCGCGAAAAUAAGUUGGUUUACAGUAUUUGCUACUGGACAUUAAUUAGCUAUCAUUCAAUUAGUAACUUUAGGCUUAUUAUGGUUAAUAUUAUAUAAGAAUGUGAAUUGCUGUAAUAACCACACAAUUUACCAUAUUAUAUGUAUCUUUAUGGAGCUUUACAUGCUAAUUUUAUGUGGUUGUAUGUUAUGAUGUAAUUAUUGUUAGAGUGAAAAAUACCUUAUAGGUUUCUGAAUAAAUAUUUGUUUGAAAAUUAAGAUGUGUUU